Molecule: ribosomal RNA, 292 nt
Filed under: uncultured bacterium
Lineage: Bacteria
Description: partial 16S ribosomal RNA
Rfam family: Bacterial small subunit ribosomal RNA
Source: RNAcentral
GUGCCAGCAGCCGCGGUAACACGUAGGAUCCGAGCGUUAUCCGAAUUUACUGGGCGUAAAGCGCGUGCAGGCGGCUGGGUAAGUUGGGCGUGAAAUCUCCCGGCUCAACUGGGAGAGGUCGUCCAAAACUACCCGGCUAGAGGGCGGUAGAGGGAGGUGGAAUUCCCGGUGUAGUGGUGAAAUGCGUAGAUAUCGGGAGGAACACCAGUGGCGAAAGCGGCCUCCUGGACCGCACCUGACGCUCAGACGCGAAAGCUAGGGGAGCGAACGGGAUUAGAAACCCCAGUAGUCC